AUUUAUCUAGAUAUUAUUUUUGAUAGCAGUUCUUUCUUUUAUCAGCUUUCGUUAUAAGAGAGAAAUAAGUGCUAAAGAAAUAGUGUGCUUUCAUUAUAAGAGAGAAAUAGUGUGCUAAACAUGACAGAAAAAACUAGUAAAACACGACAAGGCAGAGCUAAUCGCCAACAAAUUGAGG
Temnothorax curvispinosus is the source of this 178-nucleotide long non-coding RNA. RefSeq lists it as uncharacterized. Lineage: Eukaryota; Metazoa; Arthropoda; Insecta; Hymenoptera; Formicidae. The record is from RefSeq and is a predicted model, not a curated record. The transcript has 3 exons.